This 660-nucleotide long non-coding RNA is filed under the name Capra hircus (goat). RNAcentral describes it as "lncRNA (ENSCHIG00000007784.1)". Lineage: Eukaryota; Metazoa; Chordata; Mammalia; Artiodactyla; Bovidae. The record is from RNAcentral.
GAAGGAACCCCCCACCGAACAGUCAGACCUGCAGCUGUUUCCACACCCCGAAGACCACCCUUAACCCUUGGAGAGGACAAGAGCUGUGUUCUCUGGAGUGUACAAGACAGUCCCCAGGACUGGGGCCACAACACAGCAGAAGGAAAGGGUCACAGGAAAGGGCAUAAAGGAGAAGAAAAAGGACAAAUACUCACAGUGGGUCUUGGGCCAGCCCGGUUUCAGCUGCAGUACAUGGGCCACUAUCUGGUGCAUGAUGAGAGGAAAGAUCCAGACCCCAGAGUUCAGGACUUUAUUCCUGACAACUGGCAGAGCCCACCUUUGUAUGCUCAAAAGCACUGUGGUUUUCUCUUCUGGGAGAGGCAGUGAUCUCCUCACAAGUUCUCUAGGAUCUCUUGGCGUGUUUUCAGCUCCCAACCACUGCUUUGCGGCACAGUGUUACCCGGCCCAAGCUCGCUCUGUUUGCGGCAAGUCAGUAAGUCAGGAGGCAAGUUGUUGGGAUAAGAAUUUUAACUGGAAAGCCAGCAGACCCAGAAGAUGGCAGACUGGUGUCUCAGAAAACCAUCUCCCUCAGUCCCAGUUCAGACUCCUUUUAUACACAAGAGGGGAGGGACCCAGGACCAAUCGCCAAGAAGGACCACUCAGGUGGCUGGUUGACAGUUG